RNAcentral lists this ribosomal RNA (732 nucleotides) under uncultured endophytic bacterium. Its description in RNAcentral is "bacterial SSU rRNA". It matches the Rfam family "Bacterial small subunit ribosomal RNA", at positions 768 to 1504 of the family's 1533-position model. The record is from RNAcentral.
AUUAACAGGAUUAGAUACCCUGGUAGUCCACGCCCUAAACGAUGUCUACUAGUUGUCGGGUUUUAAUUAACUUGGUAACGCAGCUAACGCGUGAAGUAGACCGCCUGGGGAGUACGGUCGCAAGAUUAAAACUCAAAGGAAUUGACGGGGACCCGCACAAGCGGUGGAUGAUGUGGAUUAAUUCGAUGCAACGCGAAAAACCUUACCUACCCUUGACAUGUACGGAAGGCCGAAGAGAUUUGGCUGUGCUCGAAAGAGAACCGUAACACAGGUGCUGCAUGGCUGUCGUCAGCUCGUGUCGUGAGAUGUUGGGUUAAGUCCCGCAACGAGCGCAACCCUUGUCAUUAGUUGCUACGAAAGGGCACUCUAAUGAGACUGCCGGUGACAAACCGGAGGAAGGUGGGGAUGACGUCAAGUCCUCAUGGCCCUUAUGGGUAGGGCUUCACACGUCAUACAAUGGUACAUACAGAGCGCCGCCAACCCGCGAGAGGGAGCUAAUCGCAGAAAGUGUAUCGUAGUCCGGAUUGUAGUCUGCAACUCGACUGCAUGAAGUUGGAAUCGCUAGUAAUCGCGGAUCAGCAUGUCGCGGUGAAUACGUUCCCGGGUCUUGUACACACCGCCCGUCACACCAUGGGAGCGGGUUUUACCAGAAGUAGGUAGCUUAACCGCAAGGAGGGCGCUUACCACGGUAGGAUUCGUGACUGGGGGUGAAGUCGUAACAAGGUAGCCGUA